GUCGUGAGAUGUUGGGUUAAGUCCCGCAACGAGCGCAACCCUUGCCCUUAGUUGCUAACGAGUAAUGUCGAGCUCUCUAAGGGGACUGCCGGUGAUAAACCGGAGGAAGGUGGGGAUGAUGUCAAGUCCUCAUGGCCCUUACGCCUGGGGCUACACACGUGCUACAAUGGCCGGUACAAAGGGUCCCGAAACCACGAGGUAGAGGCAAUCCCAAAAACCCGGUCUCAGUUCGGAUUGCAGUCUGCAACUCGACUGCAUGAAGUUGGAAUCGCUAGUAAUCGCUGAUCAGCAGGCAGCGGUGAAUACGUUCCCGGGCCUUGUACACACCGCCCGUCAAGCCACGAAAGUUGGUAGUACCCGAAGUCGGUGUGCCAACCGAAAGGGGGCAGCCGCCUAAGGUAAGACCAGUGAUUGGGGCUAAGUCGUAACAAGGUAGCCGUACCGGAAGGUGCGGCUGGAUCACCUCCUUUCUAGGGAGACAUGUCGCCGGAGACUUCGGUCUGCCGGUGGCGUAUCCCAGGUCGGACUCCCGGGACCUUCAGGUCCGUGCGCUAUUCUCUCUCUUCUGGAGCUUGUGGCUGGAAGCGAGCGAGCCUGGCUGGUAAAUCCAGCCGGGCUCGUUCUGUCCCGUCCAGGCUCGGACAGGCUCGGACCCCUCGGGGUCCGGGGCGAGGGAGGGCUGAGGGGACGCGCCAUCGUCUCCGCAGGCUCGAUCUCCUCCGCGUCGUCGCGAGGUUGGGCCUGUAGCUCAGUUGGUUAGAGCGCACGCCUGAUAAGCGUGAGGUGGGUGGUUCGAGUCCACCCAGGCCCACCAUCGCUCCGGUCCUCAUGAAGGCCGCCUGUCGGGGAUAUAGCUCAACUGGGAGAGCGCCGGCUUUGCAAGCCGGAGGCUGCGGGUUCGAGCCCCGCUAUCUCCACCAGAACCGAGAGACGCUCACCGCCCGGAUUUCGAGGCGGAGAGUGUAUAGAUAUUUGCGGAUCCGCGCCCCGUGCAGCUCAUUACGUUGCGCGCGUCCGCCCGUGACGCAAGCCGUCACGAAUGCUCUUUGACAACCGAAUACGAGACGCUGGGUAAACACAGUGAAAGCACCUUAGAAACCAUAUAUCCGGUCAAGCUACUAAGGGCGCACGGUGGAUGCCUUGGCACGAGAAGGCGAUGAAGGACGCGGUAAGCUGCGAAAAGCCUCGGUGAGCUGCAAACAAGCUUCGAUCCGGGGGUGU
This 1221-nucleotide small RNA is filed under the name uncultured Latescibacterota bacterium. RNAcentral's name for it is "bacterial SSU rRNA". The stretch from base 1 to 470 matches the Rfam family "Bacterial small subunit ribosomal RNA", at positions 1064 to 1533 of the family's 1533-position model. The record is from RNAcentral. Lineage: Bacteria; Pseudomonadati; Candidatus Latescibacterota.